GACGAACGCUGGCGGCGUGCCUAACACAUGCAAGUCGAACGGAGAGAUACGAGAGCUUGCUCUUGUAAAUCUUAGUGGCAAACGGGUGAGUAACGCGUAAACAACCUGCCCAACGGAUGGGGACAACAGACGGAAACGACUGCUAAUACCCAAUAGACUCCGGUUUCGCAUGAAACCGACAGGAAAGGUGGCCUCUCGAAGAAGCUACCGCCGCAGGAGGGGUUUGCGUUUGAUUAGUUAGUUGGUGGGGUAACGGCCUACCAAGACGAUGAUCAAUAGCCGGUCGGAUAGGAGGGACGGCCAGACUGGGACGGAGACACGGUCCAGACGCCUACGGGAGGCAGCAGGAGUGAAUCUGGCGCAAUGGACGAAAGUCUGACGGAGCAACGCCGCGGGAGUGAAGAAGGCCGUCGGGUUGUAAAGCUCGGUUAUUCGGGAAGAACGAUUCGUUUGUAAAUAAGGAACGGAAGUGACGGUACCGAAAGAGAAAGCCACGGCUAACUACGUG
Molecule: ribosomal RNA, 508 nt
Filed under: uncultured bacterium
Lineage: Bacteria
Description: partial 16S ribosomal RNA
Rfam family: Bacterial small subunit ribosomal RNA
Source: RNAcentral